This 512-nucleotide long non-coding RNA is filed under the name Pan paniscus (pygmy chimpanzee). RNAcentral describes it as "lncRNA (ENSPPAG00000045046.1)". The record is from RNAcentral. Lineage: Eukaryota; Metazoa; Chordata; Mammalia; Primates; Hominidae.
GCCAGCUAUUGUGGGGCAACCCCUGUGGAUGAAGAGGUCCAGCUGCUGGCUGCGUCCGCUGUCUGAGUUCUGCAUGCACUGAAGGACCUAGAAGAGAUUCUUUCACAGGCAAAGGCAGUUUACAGAAAAUAAGAUUGGGAAAUGAGGUAGACCAGAUGUGGAGGCGACGGGCGUUCCAUGAAAAGGGUGUGUGGGGAUCCGAACUGAAGAGCACUUUCCAGGAGACACACUUCGCUGUCCACACAGAGACCAGGACGCAUUCGUGGACUCACUUGCCCUAACUUCUGUCAUGCUGCUUGCAACGCACGGCCAAUCCCAGCAUGAAUGAAGCCAGCAAGACUUUUCUUGGUGUUUGUUGAGUGGGAUUCUGGUGCCUCCUGUGCAGAUUCACUUUUUACAAAAUUAUGUUGACAGUCUUGCUUAUAGGCCUCAAAAAACUCUGAGUAAGAUGCGCUGGUUUGCCUUUGGAACAUAGGAUAGGCACUGUUAUCAGAAUCUGCUGCAAUCUCAUA